RNAcentral lists this transfer RNA (63 nucleotides) under Dipodomys ordii (Ord's kangaroo rat). It matches the Rfam family "tRNA", at positions 1 to 62 of the family's 71-position model. From Rfam's summary of the family: Transfer RNA (tRNA) molecules are approximately 80 nucleotides in length. Their secondary structure includes four short double-helical elements and three loops (D, anti-codon, and T loops). The record is from Rfam by way of RNAcentral. Lineage: Eukaryota; Metazoa; Chordata; Mammalia; Rodentia; Heteromyidae.
GGGAAGUUGGCUCAGUGGUAGAGUGCUUGCCUUGUAUGCAUGAGGCCCUGGGUUGAAUUCCUU